Long non-coding RNA from Rosa chinensis, 1161 nucleotides. RefSeq lists it as uncharacterized. NCBI's taxonomy places the organism in Eukaryota, Viridiplantae, Streptophyta, Magnoliopsida, Rosales, Rosaceae. The record is from RefSeq and is a predicted model, not a curated record. The transcript has 6 exons.
AAAGAAAAACAAAAGCCAUUGGUAAUAUUAAAUUGUGCUUCGUUUUCUUUCAAUCUUCCUUAUUUCAUCUCAGAGUCCAUAGACUCCGACUCGCUGACUCAAUGGUGGUUCACCGUUCACUCCCUCAUCGCCUCUCUCUUUUUCCGGCGACCUCUGUUCUCUCCGAAAACUCUCUCCGUCCGCGAAAGAUAGGCGUCCGAUUCAAGCAUUUCCUUCCUUGAGUAUCGUCGGAUCUUGUAUCUCACUCGCAGCGAAUCGUGCAUAGCUCGACCUCCAUGGCCGUCAGAAGCGUCGAUUUCAAGUGAAUUGCACAUUGUCGGUGCAAGGCGAACCAAUGCAGACGAUACCACUGAUGAUGAUUUACCAAGUACCUCGGAGUGCCAAUUUACAGAUGCAGUAGCCUCUGAUUCAGCACACUCCAAUGAUCCAAAGCAUUUUGGUCAAUCUCCUCUCCCUGCUUAUCAACCAGCUUUUGAUUGGGAAAGUGAAAGAUCAUUGAUAUGCGGUCAAAGGGUUCCAGAAACUCCAAUAUCUCAUGGCCUGAAGAUCUCAGUGAAAGUUCUGUCCCUAUCAUUUCAAGCGGGACUGGUUGAGCCAUUUUAUGCUACAAUUUGCUUAUAUAAUAGGUAGAGGAGAAAAGUUGUCGGAGGAUUUCUAUUUUCGUCACGCACCAACAGAAACACAGAAUCUAAGAACUUUAUAUAUUUUUGCCACCACUUUAAUGGUCAUCCUUUGUUCUUUAAGUAAAUUUUUAGCACACAUCAUGACUGACAAAUUUACUACUGCCUUUUUUUGGGUGAAGAUUUCUUUUGAACCCCGUGGAAUCUUCUAGUUAGAUGCUCCAUCAUCAUCAGUUUGUCUUCUGAUCCAGUUAGAGAAGCACACCACAGAAGAAGGCGGGGUUACGCCGACGCCUACAGUUUAUUCUCGUAAAGAACCGGCUCUAUGAUGUACGACUUCUUUAUGGGAAAUGGUUGGCAUGUGGCAUCAUAUCAAGUUAUAAUCAGCCCCUUCAAGUACUCAUGUAAUCAAUCUGAAAGCAAUUCUAAUCUAGCUAGUAUGUUCUAUAUUUGAAAACCAGUUUAAUUAUAUACUAUGCUUCAUAUUUUGUAAUAUGAAGUUAUUUAAUUGAUAUAAUUUACCCAUGAAUGCUUUUGUUUA